GACGAACGCUGGCGGCGUGCUUAACACAUGCAAGUCGAACGGAAAGGCCCUGCUUUUGUUGGGUUCUCGAGUGGCGAACGGGUGAGUAACACGUGAGUAACCUGCCCUUGACUUUGGGAUAACUUCAGGAAACUGGGUCUAAUACCUGAUAGGAGCUCCUGCUUCAUGGUGGUGGUUGGAAAGUUUCGGCGGUUGGGGAUGGACUCGCGGCUUAUCAGCUUGUUGGUGGGGUAGUGGCUUACCAAGGCUUUGACGGGUAGCAGGCCUGAGAGGGUGACCGGCAAAAUUGGGACUGAGAUACGGCACAGAAUACUACGGGAGGCAGCAGUGGGGAAUAUUGCACAAUGGGCGGAAGCGUGAUGAAGAAAAGCAGCGUGCGGGAUGACGGCCUUCGGGUUGUAAACCGAUUUAGAAUGUGAAGAAGAGUGAGUGACGGUAAUGGGUAAAGAAGCACCGGCUAACUACGUG
Molecule: ribosomal RNA, 468 nt
Filed under: uncultured bacterium
Lineage: Bacteria
Description: partial 16S ribosomal RNA
Rfam family: Bacterial small subunit ribosomal RNA
Source: RNAcentral